GACGAACGCUGGCGGCGUGCUUAACACAUGCAAGUCGAACGGAAAGGCCCUGCUUUUGUGGGGUGCUCGAGUGGCGAACGGGUGAGUAACACGUGAGUAACCUGCCCUUGACUUUGGGAUAACUUCAGGAAACUGGGGCUAAUACCGGAUAGGAGCUCCUGCUGCAUGGUGGGGGUUGGAAAGUUUCGGCGGUUGGGGAUGGACUCGCGGCUUAUCAGCUUGUUGGUGGGGUAGUGGCUUACCAAGGCUUUGACGGGUAGCCGGCCUGAGAGGGUGACCGGCCACAUUGGGACUGAGGUACGGCCCAGACUCCUACGUGAGGCAGCAGUGGGGAAUAUUGCACAAUGGGCGGAAGCCUGAUGCAGCAACGCCGCGUGCGGGAUGACGGCCUUCGGGUUGUAAACCGCUUUCGCCUGUGACGAAGCGUGAGUGACGGUAAUGGGUAAAGAAGCACCGGCUAACUACGUG
This 468-nucleotide ribosomal RNA is filed under the name uncultured bacterium. RNAcentral describes it as "partial 16S ribosomal RNA". It matches the Rfam family "Bacterial small subunit ribosomal RNA", at positions 28 to 507 of the family's 1533-position model. The record is from RNAcentral.